GGCCCUUCAAACUUGAUGCACAUUGACAUCAGUUUUUCCCCCCCAUACUACCGGGUAUGUGUACUGUAUGACUAUAUCUUUCAAAAAUGGAUUACUCAUAUAGGCAAAAAAAGCAGCCAAAGAAAUACUGCUCUAACUGUGGAAGAGAUGGAAAGAAGGUUGGUAAUCAUAAGCGGGUUGGAAAAUUAAUUAAAGACAAAAGAGGAAAGAACAUGACUCAGUUUGUCAAUGCCCUGACAACGGACACGUGGUCAGUACCUGAACGGAAUAGACUGAAGUCCAUUUCCUACCCAGCUAGAGAAGGUCUGUCCCUUCCCCACACCACUCCAUGCAUGCCUGUGAAGAGGAAAACUCCUGCUGAUAAAAUCCGAUGCACCUGUCUGAGAGGCGGCUUUCUGAGUCUGAAUUGUAAUGAAGUACAACAGUAUUCCUUGCAGAGACUAAUGCACCAGAUGUAAGCCUUGCUUCUGCCUGUUCCUUUCAUCGUGAGGGAUGCACUUUGUUCUAGUUCCGAACAUCAGCGUUGGCUUUGCUGGCAGAAAGUAAAAAGAGGGAAUGAAAGAAUGAGAAAGAGAGAGAUUACCAAGGUAUAGUUUGUUAGUCUUAUAAUUUAUGGGUGGAAAGCGCUCUGUUAGAACUGAAUGCAUAUUUU
Molecule: long non-coding RNA, 652 nt
Filed under: Crocodylus porosus (Australian saltwater crocodile)
Lineage: Eukaryota; Metazoa; Chordata; Crocodylia; Crocodylidae
Description: lncRNA (ENSCPRG00005017660.1)
Source: RNAcentral